UACGUAGGGUGCGAGCGUUGUCCGGAAUUAUUGGGCGUAAAGAGCUCGUAGGCGGUCUGUCGCGUCGGCUGUGAAAACUCGGGGCUCAACCCCGAGCCUGCAGUCGAUACGGGCAGACUAGAGUGCUGUAGGGGAGACUGGAAUUCCUGGUGUAGCGGUGAAAUGCGCAGAUAUCAGGAGGAACACCAAUGGCGAAGGCAGCUCGCUGGGACGUGACUGACGCUGAGACGCGAAAGCGUGGGGAGCAAACAGG
This 253-nucleotide ribosomal RNA is filed under the name uncultured bacterium. RNAcentral describes it as "partial 16S ribosomal RNA". It matches the Rfam family "Bacterial small subunit ribosomal RNA", at positions 524 to 776 of the family's 1533-position model. The record is from RNAcentral.